Molecule: non-coding RNA, 3745 nt
Organism: Anas platyrhynchos (mallard)
Lineage: Eukaryota; Metazoa; Chordata; Aves; Anseriformes; Anatidae
Source: RefSeq, a predicted model, not a curated record
UAAGGGUGGAAAAGAUCACCUUUUGUCAAAAAAAAAAAAAAAGCUUAUCUUGUGUGGUAUCUAUAUAUGUGGUGGAACAUUUCUGCUUCAUUUCUUCACGAGCCUGUGCAGUGACUCUACAAACUGAAACACUGAUUAACGGGGAUCUAAAAUAGAUUAUCCUUUUUUUGCAGCUGAAAUUCAGCUUGGUUUCUCUUCCCAGCCUUGUUUCAUGACUAUCCUGUAUGCUGACACUGUUUUGUUGCUCCACUGCAACAUCAAAAAAAGGCUGCUUGACCUUCCCAGUUUCUCUUCCAGUUGGCUUGCUCCUCCUGCAAACUAAGAUGCUGCUUCUUUGACAAAAGUAGUCCUGCUGUGUUACAUAGCUGCUAUGUUCAGAGAGGAACCAUGACCUGCAUGAUGUCUAAGGCCAAAUGAUGUACACACUUUAGGCAUCCACACCUUUGUGUGGUGAAAGGCCGGAUUAAGAAGGUACGCUCUGAAUGUGCCAGCAACAUCCUGUCAAUGACAGAAUUGUAUUCAGAACAAAGCACCCUUCUUUGAAAAGAGAAAGUAACUCAAGUGCCCAUUUUAUUGUAUAAUAGUUAAGCGAUUAGAGCACUUCACCAAGGAGAGAGAGACUUCAGCUCAAUUCCUUCUUCAGCUUGACAAGAUUCAAAAGUACAUCUACAGCCUCCCAGGAAAUCGUUCAUCCUAUCUCCAUAAAACAGCCUGAACUGAAGCACUCUCCAUUCUGCCUGCUGAAGUAAGGCCACUAAAUAUGAAGUAGUGUCAGAUUUUUAGCACUGAAGGAAAACAAGAAAGAAAGAAAGAAGAAACUUAACUCGGCCUGGUGACAAUAGCAUUCUGCUGGAAAAUAAAUAAAUAAAUAAAUAAAUAAAUAAAACAGCUGUGGGGCUUGCUCCCAGUCCCACAUCGCUUUAUGUACUGCAUUUAAUGAUGACCUAAUGUAUAGGAUAUCUCUUGGAGAACUGGGAAAAAGAAAGGUGGACUGAGCUGGCAAUCUUAUUUAGCAAUUGGGAUGGGCUAAAAGCAGUGAAAAAAUGGGCUAGCGUAAGUAAUUUAACAGGCUGUGACUGCUUAAAAUUUGUUAACUUGAUCAACUGCUAUCUUACGAGUGUGUUAAAUAUGUUAUCAAUUACUGUAACAAAAUUAAAAGUAGAAUUUAAAAUUUGAUUCUUCUGUAGGUAUUACCACUUGUUGCAGUAGGAAACAAAUUGCCAAAUAGGCCAACUGUGUGAGUUAUGAUACUCAGUGUGGUUAAUUACUGCAAACAGUUUUUCCAAUUUACUAUUCAGGUUCUGAAUUGCUCAUAUGGCACCAUGCUUAGGCUGUUCAGGAGCUCUUACUCAUCUAUGCAGGAAGGAGACUGUGUUAUUCAUUCCUCACUAUUCACUCUUACCCAUUUCUUUUGUUUGUUUGUUUGUUUGCUUUAAACAUGUCUGAUGACAACAGAGAAAACAGAAAAAGAGGUUGUGGGAUUUAAGUAACUACCUGGGUUCCACAAUCAAUUCACAAGCAAGCCAAACAAGGCUUGGGUGAGUACAGGCUGAAGACUGCUCAUCCAUUCUAUCAGACAAGAACUUAGUUCCAAAAAUUUCAGAAGAAAAUUGAUCAGUUCACAAACUAUUUGUAGAUGAGAAAAAUGGAACUGCUUUCAUCAGAUACAAUCAUUCACAAUUAAUAAUGUGAUGUUAUUUUUAGUACUCUGAAAACAGAAGUUUCCUUUAAAUGCCAAAAACCUACUACGUGUUUUGAUUACUACUGACAUAAUCAUCCUCUCUCUAAAAAGGCGUAUCUUUCCUGUUGGGAUUAUGCCAUCUUGUCUUGUGCCAUCACUAAUUAUUAACAAUGAAGAGAGAGGAAAAACAAUAAAAUUCACACUCUUCCCACAGUAAAAGCAAAUAAACGUUAAAAUGUGGAGACUGUUAUGAGACAAAUUUUACUCCCAGAAAGUGAUAUCCUCAAAUCCUGACACAGAGAGCUGGCAUGGAGGUUAUUGAGACUAUUUUUGUUACUGACAGAGCAACAAAAGACAUGGAAGAUAUGACAAUCAAAACCAAAAAGUAAUGCACAGCUCCCAGAAAACCACAGGAAAUACCUCCGGAGUACAUCUAGUGAGGUAAAAGCCACAAAAUCUGAAGGGAACAAAUGGCAUAACCUUUCUAUGACAACAAUGCAAAUCUGCCUGUGCACAGCAUUGUUUACUUUUACACACUGUAUACAGCCCAACUGGUUUCAGACAUUUGCCUGUGCCUCUAGAACAAAGAAAGGUUUUUAUGCAACAAUUUUAUGUUAUAUGUAAAGGAGGAAUUCACAUGCACUGGCUUUUUUGCUCAGGAGUUGAUCUAUUUUACUUCACCUGCACAACAGUUCCAGCACUUCUGACAUGAAAGACCACUGCCUGACAUGCAUAUGUAACCACAAAAGUUUAAUGUCAAAAGUACAGGUUGGAUACCAUUUAGGCAGGUCAAUCAGGCUUAGUCAGUAGCAUCUGUAAAAAGAUAAGAUAUUUACAAGGAGACUUACUUGUAAAGAUAACAGAAGAUCAAUCAAAAUCUGAUAAUAGUGAUGUUCUUGUGCUCAGAUAUUAUAAUAAUGAGCACUUUAUGCAGUAGGUUUGAUACAUUCUAAAGCUAUCUACUGAAGUGAGCCACCCAACAGGUAUUUUCCAAUUAUGAGAUUAAAAGGUUCUAAGAUUUUUUUGAAAGUCCAUGGCAGAGUUUAUCAGAGAAACCAUCUGGUUCCAGCACCAAAAAUAACUCUUUUGAUCAUAGCAUCCUUUCAUGAUUAGUCAUGACUGAAAACUAACCUUCCAUCUUCUCACACAGCACACAGGCAUGCUAUUAACAAUUUGUUUCACUGUGGAUUGAGUUUAUUAAAAAUGUCUGUAGUUCCAGACAUUACUAUUAUAAGCCCUAUUUUAAUAAGCCAUAUUAUUAUACACUGGAUUUCUGCAUUUCAAAAGCUUUCCAAGCAAGAUUUUGUUCUUGAAGGGACAAAAAAAAUAAUAUCACCAUUUUCAAAAAAUAAGAAAAUGAGAUAUCAUUUUUAGUCUUAUUUUAAUAGUUUGCAUUUCAACAGUUAAGCAAGAUAUAUCAUUGAAAAAAAAAAAAUCCUCUGUGGAAUUACCAGUCUUCGAUUAUGUGAAUUUUUAUGUCUUCCAACAGGACAACUAUUGUCCAUAUGUCUAUGUAAUACAUACUUCUAGUGCUCAGAGAACUUUAAUAUGCAUGUAUGUUACCAAUGACAGAAGCUCUUUGCAAAUGCACUGAAUUUAUUAGGAUAGUCUGGGCAACAUAAGCCCUUUUCACAAACAAGGACCAGAACUUGCUACCUUCAACCUAGCAACACAAAAAAAGAUAAUUCAGACAUGAUAUACUCUUUGCCAUUUUCCGUGAAGGCAACGCCACCACACACAUAUGUUCAUUGAAAUACACACCUAGACACCACUUGAGAGUGAAAUAAGAAGAAAAAGCAUUCGAGUAAUAAGCACCAGAUGAACUGAAGAAAUAAUAAAAAUGCUUGUGUUAAAUGGGAUAGUGCAAUACAUGAAUGAUAUUUUCAAAAAUGAAUUAUUUGUUAUGAUUUACAGAAUGUCUGCACAGAAAUUGCUUUUAUGACGUUGUAAGAACUGUUUGAAGUUUGUAGGGGUCUUUAUUGCUUGACAUCCUGGUUUCUACGUUGCCUAUUGAUGACACCCACAGUAGCAGACUAGAGGUUAAUAAAGCAUUGGAAGAGAAAA